GAUGAACGCUAGCGGCAGGCCUAACACAUGCAAGUCGAGCGGAUGAAGGGGGCUUGCUCCUGGAUUCAGCGGCGGACGGGUGAGUAAUGCGCAGGAAUCUACCUCGUAGUGGGGGAUAACGUCUCGAAAGGGGCGCUAAUACCGCAUACGUUCUGAGGAAGAAAGCAGGGGACCUUCGGGCCUUGCGCUAUGAGAUGAGCUUGCGUCCGAUUAGCUAGUUGGUGGGGUAAUGGCUCACCAAGGCGACGAUCAGUAGCGGGUCUGAGAGGAUGAUCCGUCACACUGGAACUGAGACACGGUCCAGACUCCUACGGGAGGCAGCAGUGGGGAAUUUUGGACAAUGGGGGAAACCCUGAUCCAGCCAUUCCGCGUGAGUGAAGAAGGCCUUCGGUUGUAAGUACGUCUUCUAGCUGGAACGAAACGGUAACGACGUCUAAC
Molecule: ribosomal RNA, 438 nt
Filed under: uncultured bacterium
Lineage: Bacteria
Description: bacterial SSU rRNA
Rfam family: Bacterial small subunit ribosomal RNA
Source: RNAcentral